RNAcentral lists this ribosomal RNA (429 nucleotides) under uncultured bacterium. RNAcentral's name for it is "bacterial SSU rRNA". It matches the Rfam family "Bacterial small subunit ribosomal RNA", at positions 355 to 776 of the family's 1533-position model. The record is from RNAcentral.
UGGGGAAUAUUGGACAAUGGGGGCAACCCUGAUCCAGCGAUGCCGCGUGGGUGAAGAAGGCCUUCGGGUUGUAAAGCCCUUUAGGUUGGGAAGAAGUUGCUUGAGGGAAUAUCUCAGGUAAUUGACGGUACCGACAGAAUAAGCACCGGCAAACUCUGUGCCAGCAGCCGCGGUAAUACAGAGGGUGCGAGCGUUAAUCGGAUUUACUGGGCGUAAAGGGCGCGUAGGUGGUUAUGUGAGUGUGAUGUGAAAGCCCUGGGCUCAACCUAGGAAGUGCAUUGCAAACGACAUAACUGGAGUAUAAGAGAGGGUGGUGGAAUUUCCGGUGUAGCGGUGAAAUGCGUAGAGAUCGGAAGGAACGUCAAUGGCGAAGGCAGCCACCUGGCUUAAUACUGACACUGAGGCGCGAAAGCGUGGGGAUCAAACAGG